AGUCGACGGCAGCCAGAGGAGCUUGCUCCUUGGGUGGCGAGUGGCGGACGGGUGAGGAAUACGUCGGAAUCUGCCUAUUUGUGGGGGAUAACGUAGGGAAACUUACGCUAAUACCGCAUACGACCUUAGGGUGAAAGCGGAGGACCUUCGGGCUUCGCGCAGAUAGAUGAGCCGACGUCGGAUUAGCUAGUUGGCGGGGUAAAGGCCCACCAAGGCGACGAUCCGUAGCUGGUCUGAGAGGAUGAUCAGCCACACUGGAACUGAGACACGGUCCAGACUCCUACGGGAGGCAGCAGUGGGGAAUAUUGGACAAUGGGCGCAAGCCUGAUCCAGCCAUGCCGCGUGUGUGAAGAAGGCCUUCGGGUUGUAAAGCACUUUUGUCCGGAAAGAAAAGCUUAGGGUUAAUACCCCGGGGUCCUGACGGUACCGGAAGAAUAAGCACCGGCUAACUUCGUGCCAGCAGCCGCGGUAAUACGAAGGGUGCAAGCGUUACUCGGAAUUACUGGGCGUAAAGCGUGCGUAGGUGGUUUGUUAAGUCUGAUGUGAAAGCCCUGGGCUCAACCUGGGAAUUGCAUUGGAUACUGGCAGGCUAGAGUGCGGUAGAUGAUGGCGGAUUUCCCGGUGUAGCAGUGAAAUGC
RNAcentral lists this ribosomal RNA (638 nucleotides) under uncultured bacterium. Its description in RNAcentral is "bacterial SSU rRNA". It matches the Rfam family "Bacterial small subunit ribosomal RNA", at positions 60 to 689 of the family's 1533-position model. The record is from RNAcentral.